AAUCAACGCUGGCGGCGUGCCUCAGACAUGCAAGUCGAACGAUUAAAGCUCCCUUCGGGGAGUGCAUAGAGUGGCGCACGGGUGAGUAACACGUAAGUAAUCUACCUUCGAGUGGGGAAUAACACCGAGAAAUCGGUGCUAAUACCGCAUAAUGCAGCGGCAUCGCAAGAUGACAGUUGUUAAAGAUUUAUCGCUUGAAGAGGAGCUUGCGGCAGAUUAGCUAGUUGGUAAGGUAAUGGCUUACCAAGGCUACGAUCUGUAACCGGUCUAAGAGGACGGUCGGUCACACUGACACUGAAUAACGGGUCAGACUCCUACGGGAGGCAGCAGUCGGGAAUUUUGGGCAAUGGGCGAAAGCCUGACCCAGCAACGCCGCGUGAAGGAUGAAGUAUUUCGGUAUGUAAACUUCGAAAGAAUAGGAAGAAUAAAAUGACGGUUACUAUUUAUAAGCUCCGGCUAACUACGUGCCAGCCGCCGCAGUAAG
RNAcentral lists this ribosomal RNA (484 nucleotides) under uncultured bacterium. Its description in RNAcentral is "bacterial SSU rRNA". It matches the Rfam family "Bacterial small subunit ribosomal RNA", at positions 32 to 524 of the family's 1533-position model. The record is from RNAcentral.